Molecule: ribosomal RNA, 253 nt
Filed under: uncultured bacterium
Lineage: Bacteria
Description: partial 16S ribosomal RNA
Rfam family: Bacterial small subunit ribosomal RNA
Source: RNAcentral
UACGGAGGGGGCUAGCGUUGUUCGGAAUUACUGGGCGUAAAGCGUACGUAGGCGGCUUUGUAAGUUAGAGGUGAAAGCCCGGGGCUCAACUCCGGAAUUGCCUUUAAGACUGCAUCGCUAGAACGUCGGAGAGGUGAGUGGAAUUCCGAGUGUAGAGGUGAAAUUCGUAGAUAUUCGGAAGAACACCAGUGGCGAAGGCGACUCACUGGACGACUGUUGACGCUGAGGUGCGAAAGCGUGGGGAGCAAACAGG